Molecule: long non-coding RNA, 554 nt
Organism: Pezoporus occidentalis (night parrot)
Lineage: Eukaryota; Metazoa; Chordata; Aves; Psittaciformes; Psittacidae
Exons: 3
Source: RefSeq, a predicted model, not a curated record
AGCAGGGGUGACUGUAAGGGGUUGAAGUGUUUGGCUGUCUGCAAAGCAGGCAGCAGGAGGAAAAGGGUGUCUUAUGUGUGACUGGGUAGGAUAGAGAUGGACAAGCUGCUCUGAAGGGUGUUGGAAUGGUGGUGUGUCUUCUUCAGUUCCUGCUGCACCAGCCUUUCAUGUCUGUCCCAUUCAUCCUGGGUUCUGUGAGUGCUCAGCCUUCAUCUUAACCCUGAGCUCACUGUGUUGCCAGAGAUGGUAGAGCAAUAACAGCCUCAUUAACCAACAAACCUGGACAGAAAAGCUUCCUCCCAGCCUGUUCAGGACCAAAACAUCACUGUGGCCUGGCUCCAGCUGGAGGACCUCAUACAGAAAGCACCUUUCCUUGCCUGCCUUGGGAUGCAUCCAAAGGCACCUAAAGGCAAUCUCUGGUGCCCUCUCAGCUGUCCCAGUGUGGGACUUGCCUGGCUGGUGACACGGGACAUGUGAUGGGGCAGAAACUGCUUUUUCCUCCCCCCAAGAAGUGACAUUCCUGGAACUCCUCAGCAUUUAAACACCCAAGUCCA